Molecule: long non-coding RNA, 592 nt
Organism: Harpia harpyja (harpy eagle)
Lineage: Eukaryota; Metazoa; Chordata; Aves; Accipitriformes; Accipitridae
Exons: 2
Source: RefSeq, a predicted model, not a curated record
AGCUGCUGUGCCGUGGCGAUGCCGUGUGGAGGCGAAGCACCCUCUCGGCAGCCGGCACGGAGCGCCUGCGCGCAUCCAGCCUGCCGCCAAGUGACAUGCAUUUUCCAUUCCCUGGGCUUCAUUACUUCUUGGAACGCAGACCUCGUCCGCCGGGCCAUGAGGGGCUUCGCUUCCCUCCGUGUUUAUUUUCGCUGCCGUGUGUUCUUUUGCCAGAUGUGGACACCGAGGCAUGGGAAAUCAAAGAAAUUUACCCCCGGUCGUUGGCAGAGCCACCGCUACAAAUAAUUUCCUGAUUUCCACUAACGACUGGAAUGCCCUCUAGACCGUCCGCUCUCUCCAGAUGUGCGCCGGCUUUAAAAAUUACACGGACCCCGCGACGCUUGGCCUCAUCUCCGCCGGUUGCUUUGGGGAGAGCCGGGAGCGACUCUGAUGCCGAGCAUGUGUGGGGACGCGGGGCGGCGAAGGCAUCUUUGGCACCCAGACGGCGCAGCCGGAACGCUGCGAUCUCCGAUGACAUGACUGCACCCUCUGGAGGGUACUGUUGCUCUUGCACAAAGCGUUUAUGGUGAUAAAACUCGGUCCAUAAAUCGUC